Molecule: ribosomal RNA, 377 nt
Filed under: uncultured Chloroflexota bacterium
Lineage: Bacteria; Bacillati; Chloroflexota
Description: bacterial SSU rRNA
Rfam family: Bacterial small subunit ribosomal RNA
Source: RNAcentral
UAAGACGUAGAAGGCAAGCGUCAUCCGGAUUUAUUGGGCGUAAAGAGGGUGUAGGCGGUUCUUCAAGUCGGAUGUAAAAUCUCCCGGCUCAACUGGGAGGGAUCAUUCGAUACUGUUGGGCUAGAGUGCAGCAGGGGGAGAUGGAAUUCCCGGUGUAGUGGUGAAAUGCGUAGAUAUCGGGAGGAACACCAGUGGCGAAGGCGGUCUCCUGGGCUGUUACUGACGCUGAGACCCGAAGGCGUGGGGAGCGAACAGGAUUAGAUACCCUGGUAGUCCACGCAGUAAACGAUGGACACUAGGUAUGGGGGGUAUCGACCCCCUCCGUGCCGAAGUUAACGCUUUAAGUGUCCCGCCUGGGGAGUACGAUCGCAAGACUA